UUUGGUGGCGAUAGCGAAGAGGUCACACCCGUUCCCAUACCGAACACGGAAGUUAAGCUCUUCAGCGCCGAUGGUAGUCGGGGGUUUCC
Molecule: ribosomal RNA, 89 nt
Filed under: Bacillus subtilis
Lineage: Bacteria; Bacillati; Bacillota; Bacilli; Caryophanales; Bacillaceae
Also listed under: 3 other names
Source: RNAcentral